This 1396-nucleotide ribosomal RNA is filed under the name Clostridium sp. URNW. RNAcentral's name for it is "16S ribosomal RNA". It matches the Rfam family "Bacterial small subunit ribosomal RNA". The record is from RNAcentral. Lineage: Bacteria; Bacillati; Bacillota; Clostridia; Eubacteriales; Clostridiaceae.
AGUCGAGCGAGGAAAUUCCUUCGGGAAUUUCCUAGCGGCGGACGGGUGAGUAACACGUGGGCAACCUGCCUGAUAGAGGGGGAUAGCCUCCCGAAAGGGAGAUUAAUACCGCAUAAAGUCAAAUGAAGGCAUCUUCAAAUGACCAAAGGAGUAAUCCGCUAUCAGAUGGGCCCGCGGCGCAUUAGCUAGUUGGUGAGGUAACGGCUCACCAAGGCGACGAUGCGUAGCCGACCUGAGAGGGUGAUCGGCCACAUUGGGACUGAGACACGGCCCAGACUCCUACGGGAGGCAGCAGUGGGGAAUAUUGCACAAUGGGGGAAACCCUGAUGCAGCAACGCCGCGUGAGUGAUGAAGGCCUUCGGGUUGUAAAGCUCUGUCUUCAGGGACGAUAAUGACGGUACCUGAGGAGGAAGCCACGGCUAACUACGUGCCAGCAGCCGCGGUAAUACGUAGGUGGCAAGCGUUGUCCGGAUUUACUGGGCGUAAAGGGAGCGUAGGCGGAUACUUAAGUGGGAUGUGAAAUACCUGGGCUUAACUUGGGUGCUGCAUUCCAAACUGGGUGUCUAGAGUGUUGGAGAGGAAAGUGGAAUUCCUAGUGUAGCGGUGAAAUGCGUAGAGAUUAGGAAGAACACCAGUGGCGAAGGCGACUUUCUGGACAAUAACUGACGCUGAGGCUCGAAAGCGUGGGGGAGCAAACAGGAUUAGAUACCCUGGUAGUCCACGCCGUAAACGAUGGGUACUAGGUGUAGGGGGUAUCGACUCCCCCUGUGCCGCCGUUAACACAAUAAGUACCCCGCCUGGGGAGUACGGUCGCAAGAUUAAAACUCAAAGGAAUUGACGGGGGCCCGCACAAGCAGCGGAGCAUGUGGUUUAAUUCGAAGCAACGCGAAGAACCUUACCUAGACUUGACAUCUCCUGAAUUACUCUUAAUCGAGGAAGUUCUCCCUUCGGGGAGGACAGGAAGACAGGUGGUGCAUGGUUGUCGUCAGCUCGUGUCGUGAGAUGUUGGGUUAAGUCCCGCAACGAGCGCAACCCUUAUUGUUAGUUGCUACCWUUUAUUGAGCACUCUAGCAAGACUGCCGUGGUUAACGCGGAGGAAGGUGGGGAUGACGUCAAAUCAUCAUGCCCCUUAUGUCUAGGGCUACACACGUGCUACAAUGGCGAGUACAAAGAGACGCAAAGCCGCGAGGUGGAGCAAAACUUAUAAAUCGCUAGCGGAUUAGGCUACUCGCCGCAUGAACUGGAGUUGCUAGUAAUCGCGAAUCAGAAUGUCGCGGUGAAUACGUUCCCGGGCCUUGUACACACCGCCCGUCACACCAUGAGAGUUGGCAAUACCCGAAGUCCGUAGCCUAACCUUUUAGGAGGGCGCGGCCGAAGGUAGGGUCAGCGAUUGGGG